AAAGAGAUUUGGAAGUGAAGUUUGAGACCAAAGAAAAGCAACUGGCAGAGGAGAAUGCAGGUUUACAAGCUCGAAUUUCAGAACUCGAAUCAAUGUCUAAAGAGAGAGAAGCUGAACUUUCUGCUCUCACGAAGAAAAUUGAGGAGACCUAUAGUGAACAUAGUCAGGUACAGGAGCAAUUAGGUCAGAGGGAAAUGGAGUAUUCAACUCUGUCUGAGAGGCACAGGCUGCAUCAGGACGAAACAUUGGCACAAAUAAAGGGAUGGGAGGAUAAAGUAACAGAGCUGGAAUCAGUUCUCGAGUCUUUGCAAGGCGAGAAAAGAGAUAUGGAAGUGAAGUCUGAGAGCAAAGAAAAGCAACUGGUAGAGGAGAAUGCAGGUUUACAAGCUCAAAUUUCAGAACUGGAAUCAUUGUCAAAAGAGAAAGAAGCUGAACUUUCUGCUCUCACGAAGAAAUUUGAGGAGACCAAUAAUGAACAUGGUCAGGUACGGGAGCAAUUAGGUCAGAGGGAAAUGGAGUAUUCAACUCUGUCUGAGAGGCACAGGCUGCAUCAGGACGAAACAUUGGCACAAAUAAAGGGAUUGGAGGAUAAAGUAACUGAGCUGGAAGUGGCCC
This 615-nucleotide long non-coding RNA is filed under the name Fragaria vesca (wild strawberry). RNAcentral describes it as "long non-coding RNA (FVES_LNC002180)". Lineage: Eukaryota; Viridiplantae; Streptophyta; Magnoliopsida; Rosales; Rosaceae. The record is from RNAcentral.